This 223-nucleotide ribosomal RNA is filed under the name uncultured bacterium. Its description in RNAcentral is "partial 16S ribosomal RNA". It matches the Rfam family "Bacterial small subunit ribosomal RNA", at positions 328 to 539 of the family's 1533-position model. The record is from RNAcentral.
ACGCUCGACACCUACGGGAGGCAGCAGUAGGGAAUCUUCCACAAUGGACGCAAGUCUGAUGGAGCAACGCCGCGUGAGUGAAGAAGGUCUUCGGAUCGUAAAACUCUGUUGUUAGAGAAGAACACGAGUGAGAGUAACUGUUCAUUCGAUGACGGUAUCUAACCAGCAAGUCACGGCUAACUACGUGCCAUCAGCCGCGGUAAUCUGAGCGGGCUGGCAAGGC